GACGAACGCUGGCGGCGUGCUUAACACAUGCAAGUCGAACGGAAAGGCCCUGCUUUUGUGGGGUGCUCGAGUGGCGAACGGGUGAGUAACACGUGAGUAACCUGCCCUUGACUUUGGGAUAACUUCAGGAAACUGGGGUUAAUACCGGAUAGGAGCUCCUGCUGCAUGGUGGGGGUUGGAAAGUUUCGGCGGUUGGGGAUGGACUCGCGGCUUAUCAGCUUGUUGGUGGGGUAGUGGCUUACCAAGGCUUUGACGGGUAGCCGGCCUGAGAGGGUGACCGGCCACAUUGGGACUGAGAUACGGCCCAGACUCCUACGGGGGGCAGAAGUGGGGAAUAUUGCACAAUGGGCGGAAGCCUGAUGCAGCAACGCCGCGUGCGGGAUGACGGCCUUCGGGUUAUAAACCGCUUUCGCCUGUGACGAAGCGUGAGUGACGGUAAUGGGUAAAGAAGCACCGGCUAACUACGUG
This 468-nucleotide ribosomal RNA is filed under the name uncultured bacterium. RNAcentral's name for it is "partial 16S ribosomal RNA". It matches the Rfam family "Bacterial small subunit ribosomal RNA", at positions 28 to 507 of the family's 1533-position model. The record is from RNAcentral.